RNAcentral lists this ribosomal RNA (457 nucleotides) under Salmonella enterica. RNAcentral describes it as "partial 23S ribosomal RNA". It matches the Rfam family "Bacterial large subunit ribosomal RNA", at positions 711 to 1165 of the family's 2925-position model. The record is from RNAcentral. Lineage: Bacteria; Pseudomonadati; Pseudomonadota; Gammaproteobacteria; Enterobacterales; Enterobacteriaceae.
AGACCCGAAACCCGGUGAUCUAGCCAUGGGCAGGUUGAAGGUUGGGUAACACUAACUGGAGGACCGAACCGACUAAUGUUGAAAAAUUAGCGGAUGACCUGUGGCUGGGGGUGAAAGGCCAAUCAAACCGGGAGAUAGCUGGUUCUCCCCGAAAGCUAUUUAGGUAGCGCCUCGUGAAUUCAUCUCCGGGGGUAGAGCACUGUUUCGGCUAGGGGGCCAUCCCGGCUUACCAACCCGAUGCAAACUGCGAAUACCGGAGAAUGUUAUCACGGGAGACACACGGCGGGUGCUAACGUCCGUCGUGAAGAGGGAAACAACCCAGACCGCCAGCUAAGGUCCCAAAGUCAUAGUUAAGUGGGAAACGAUGUGGGAAGGCCCAGACAGCCAGGAUGUUGGCUUAGAAGCAGCCAUCAUUUAAAGAAAGCGUAAUAGCUCACUGGUCGAGUCGGCCUGCGCG